This 74-nucleotide transfer RNA is filed under the name Camelus bactrianus (Bactrian camel). It matches the Rfam family "tRNA". Rfam says of the family: Transfer RNA (tRNA) molecules are approximately 80 nucleotides in length. Their secondary structure includes four short double-helical elements and three loops (D, anti-codon, and T loops). Further hydrogen bonds mediate the characteristic L-shaped molecular structure. tRNAs have two regions of fundamental functional importance: the anti-codon, which is responsible for specific mRNA codon recognition, and the 3' end, to which the tRNAs corresponding amino acid is attached (by aminoacyl-tRNA synthetases). tRNAs cope with the degeneracy of the genetic code in two manners: having more than one tRNA (with a specific anti-codon) for a particular amino acid; and 'wobble' base-pairing, i.e. permitting non-standard base-pairing at the 3rd anti-codon position. Lineage: Eukaryota; Metazoa; Chordata; Mammalia; Artiodactyla; Camelidae. RNAcentral also lists the same sequence under 2 other names. The record is from Rfam by way of RNAcentral.
GAGGGUAUAGCUCAAAGUGGUAGAGCUCAUGCUUAGCAUGCAUGAGGUCCUGGGUUCAAUCACCAGUACCUCCU